UACGUAGGGUCCGAGCGUUGUCCGGAAUUAUUGGGCGUAAAGAGCUCGUAGGCGGUCUGUCGCGUCGGCUGUGAAAACCUGGGGCUCAACUCCAGGCCUGCAGUCGAUACGGGCAGACUAGAGUUCGGUAGGGGAGACUGGAAUUCCUGGUGUAGCGGUGAAAUGCGCAGAUAUCAGGAGGAACACCUAUGGCGAAGGCAGCUCGCUGGGACGUUACUGACGCUGAGACGCGAAAGCGUGGGGAGCAAACAGG
RNAcentral lists this ribosomal RNA (253 nucleotides) under uncultured bacterium. Its description in RNAcentral is "partial 16S ribosomal RNA". It matches the Rfam family "Bacterial small subunit ribosomal RNA", at positions 524 to 776 of the family's 1533-position model. The record is from RNAcentral.